This is a long non-coding RNA of Bactrocera latifrons, 579 nucleotides long. RefSeq lists it as uncharacterized. The transcript has 5 exons. NCBI's taxonomy places the organism in Eukaryota, Metazoa, Arthropoda, Insecta, Diptera, Tephritidae. The record is from RefSeq and is a predicted model, not a curated record.
CUGCUAUUGAAUUUGGUUUAUUGUUUAGAGGAGUUUUCGAAAGUUCACGUUAUUGUGUGCUGACUAUAGUAUUACGUAUGACAAUUUUCAUUGAGAAUACAUCAGUGAUGAAAUAACUCAACACCAGUCAAGUUUUCGAUGACACAGCGAAUAACGUCUUCGACUUGGAAAAUGAACUUGAAGUGGAUCACUGAUGACUAGAGUCCAUGCAGCCGCCUCUGUGAAUUUGGCUACCAUGAGUUACUGUAUAGUGGUGUGCACAGAGAAGAACAAUGGCAUCAAGAUAAUGGUACAGGAGCCCUGCGUGAUUGAAAAGUGUAAAAGAUGUCAAAUAGAGGAGUAGACUAAACUUUGCAGAUUCGUCAAAGACAGCGAAUGGUCAUGCAGCGUAACUUGCGGUGAGGACGUACGUUAGACUUUCCUUGUGAGGGUAUGUAAAGUUUAAAAUCUAUGUGGAUAAUCCCGCUUCUAUUUGAAUCUUAGAGCAGAAGAUCACGCAAGUCAUUCGCCAGUCAAAAUGAUCGAACGAGUCAUUUAAAAUUGGACUCAAUGGAGAGGCCAUCUGAGACGUAGCCGCGG